Molecule: small nuclear RNA, 18 nt
Filed under: Arabidopsis thaliana (thale cress)
Lineage: Eukaryota; Viridiplantae; Streptophyta; Magnoliopsida; Brassicales; Brassicaceae
Description: snRNA_17140
Source: RNAcentral
GAAGCCAUUGAAAGGUGA